This 253-nucleotide ribosomal RNA is filed under the name uncultured bacterium. Its description in RNAcentral is "partial 16S ribosomal RNA". It matches the Rfam family "Bacterial small subunit ribosomal RNA", at positions 524 to 776 of the family's 1533-position model. The record is from RNAcentral.
UACGUAGGGGGCAAGCGUUGUCCGGAAUCAUUGGGCGUAAAGAGCUCGUAGGCGGUUCCGUAAGUCAGGUGUGAAAAAUCUGGGCUCAACCCAGUGGAGCACCUGAUACUGCGGUGACUCGAGUCCGGUAGGGGAGUGUGGAAUUCCUGGUGUAGCGGUGAAAUGCGCAGAUAUCAGGAGGAACACCGACGGCGAAGGCAGCACUCUGGGCCGGUACUGACGCUGAGGAGCGAAAGCAUGGGGAGCGAACAGG